RNAcentral lists this small RNA (527 nucleotides) under Pongo abelii (Sumatran orangutan). RNAcentral's name for it is "processed transcript". The record is from RNAcentral. Lineage: Eukaryota; Metazoa; Chordata; Mammalia; Primates; Hominidae.
AGUAGCAACAGAAAUUAAGGGAAGGGAUAGAUCUGGGAGGUAAAAUUGACAGAAUUAUUUGGAUGUGGAAGUGAGGUAGAGACCCCCACAUUUCCAGCUUGGUAUGGUAAUUCCAAAAAUCUAAUAGGAAAUUCAGAAAGGAGAUGUAGAAUGGGGUGGGGGUGUGAUUAUUUGGUUUGAAAUUGAAAACAUCUAGAUGGGGAUGUCUAGCAGGCAGUUGACUAUUGUAAGUCUGAAGCUUAUGGGAGAGGUUAGGACAGGGGAUGCAGAUUUGCAGCAGUGAAAAUCAGGAAUGUGGAUAAGAUCAACAAGGAAAUCUUGUGGUCUAAGAAGAGAAAUGGGCUGAGGAAAAUCAGUUAUAAUUGUCUCCAAGAUAGUAUUUCAAGUUUCUGAUUUAUUGAAAUGUUGGUCUGUGCUUUAUUGCUUAAAGGUUCUGUACAUCGGCCUGGCCUGUAAUACGGCUCGCUAUAUUUAUAUUUCCUACCUGGAGAAUGCCUGGACUGUUCUCCCCAUGGAAGUUCUUCAAG